AAAGUUGGUGGUGAAAUCCCAGAGCUUAACUCUGGAACUGCCAUCAAAACUUUUCAGCUAGAGUUUGAUAGAGGAAAGCAGAAUUUCUAGUGUAGAGGUGAAAUUCGUAGAUAUUAGAAAGAAUACCAAUUGCGAAGGCAGCUUUCUGGAUCAUUACUGACACUGAGGAACGAAAGCAUGGGUAGCGAAGAGGAUUAGAUACCCUCGUAGUCCAUGCCGUAAACGAUGUGUGUUAGACGUUGGAAAUUUAUUUUCAGUGUCGCAGCGAAAGCGAUAAACACACCGCCUGGGGAGUACGACCGCAAGGUUAAAACUCAAAUGAAUUGACGGGGACCCGCACAAGUAGUGGAGCAUGUGGUUUAAUUCGAAGAUACGCGCAGAACCUUACCAACACUUGACAUGUUCGUCGCGACUUUAAGAGAUUAAAGUUUUCGGUUCGGCCGGACGAAACACAGGUGCUGCAUGGCUGUCGUCAGCUCGUGUCGUGAGAUGUUGGGUUAAGUCCCGCAACGAGCGCAACCCUCACUUUUAGUUGCCAUCAUUUAGUUGGGCACUCUGAAAGAACUGCCAGUGAUAAGCUGGAGGAAGGUGGGGAUGACGUCAAGUCCUCAUGGCCCUUACGUGUUGGGCUACACACGUGCUACAAUGGUAUUUACAACAGGAAGCAAAACGGCGACGUUAAGCAAAUCCUAAAAAAAUACCUCAGUUCGGAUUGCACUCUGCAACUCGAGUGCAUGAAGCUGGAAUUACUAGUAAUCGUGGAUCAGCGUGCCACGGUGAAUGCGUUCCCGGGUCUUGUACACACCGCCCGUCACACCAUGGGAGUUGGUUCUACCUUAAGGCAAGGUUUAAAACCCUUGACCACGGUAUAGUCAGCGACUGGGGUGAAGUCG
This 893-nucleotide ribosomal RNA is filed under the name marine metagenome. Its description in RNAcentral is "bacterial SSU rRNA". It matches the Rfam family "Bacterial small subunit ribosomal RNA", at positions 584 to 1488 of the family's 1533-position model. The record is from RNAcentral.